GCAGUGGUGGUUCAGUGGUGGAAUUCUCGCCUUCCGUGCGGGAGACCCGGGUUCGAUUCUCAGCCAGUGCA
This 71-nucleotide transfer RNA is filed under the name Loxodonta africana (African savanna elephant). It matches the Rfam family "tRNA". Rfam says of the family: Transfer RNA (tRNA) molecules are approximately 80 nucleotides in length. Their secondary structure includes four short double-helical elements and three loops (D, anti-codon, and T loops). Lineage: Eukaryota; Metazoa; Chordata; Mammalia; Proboscidea; Elephantidae. The record is from Rfam by way of RNAcentral.